Molecule: ribosomal RNA, 207 nt
Filed under: uncultured bacterium
Lineage: Bacteria
Description: partial 16S ribosomal RNA
Rfam family: Bacterial small subunit ribosomal RNA
Source: RNAcentral
CUCGUAGGCGGCUUCGUAAGUCAGAGGUGAAAGGUCACGGCUCAACCGUGGGAACGCCUUUGAAACUACGAAGCUUGAGGCCGGGAGAGGAAAGUGGAAUUCCUGGAGUAGCGGUGAAAUGCGUAGAUAUCAGGAGGAACACCAGUGGCGAAGGCGACUUUCUGGACCGGUUCUGACGCUGAGGAGCGAAAGCAUGGGGAGCGAACA